AGUGAACGCUGGCGGUAGGCCUAACACAUGCAAGUCGAACGGCAGCACAGUAAGAGCUUGCUCUUACGGGUGGCGAGUGGCGGACGGGUGAGGAAUACAUCGGAAUCUACUUUUUCGUGGGGGAUAACGUAGGGAAACUUACGCUAAUACCGCAUACGACCUACGGGUGAAAGCAGGGGAUCUUCGGACCUUGCGCGAUUGAAUGAGCCGAUGUCGGAUUAGCUAGUUGGCGGGGUAAAGGCCCACCAAGGCGACGAUCCGUAGCUGGUGUGAGAGGAUGAUGACCCACACUGGAACUGAGACACGGUCCAGACGCCUACGGGGGGCCGCAGUGGGGAAUAUUGGACAAUGGGCGCAAGCCUGAUCCAGCCAUACCGCGUGGGUGAAGAAGGCCUUCGGGUUGUAAAGCCCUUUUGUUGGGAAAGAAAGGCAGCAGGUUAAUACCCCGCUGUUCUGACGGUACCCAAAGAAUAAGCACCGGCUAACUUCGUG
This 492-nucleotide ribosomal RNA is filed under the name uncultured bacterium. RNAcentral's name for it is "partial 16S ribosomal RNA". It matches the Rfam family "Bacterial small subunit ribosomal RNA", at positions 29 to 507 of the family's 1533-position model. The record is from RNAcentral.